AGUAAACAUGGGAUUUGUAAGUCGCUCUGGAUAAGAGCGUCUGCUAAAUGACUUAAA
Molecule: non-coding RNA, 57 nt
Organism: Salmo salar (Atlantic salmon)
Lineage: Eukaryota; Metazoa; Chordata; Actinopteri; Salmoniformes; Salmonidae
Source: Rfam